RNAcentral lists this transfer RNA (72 nucleotides) under Caudoviricetes sp. RNAcentral's name for it is "tRNA-Met". It matches the Rfam family "tRNA". Rfam says of the family: Transfer RNA (tRNA) molecules are approximately 80 nucleotides in length. Their secondary structure includes four short double-helical elements and three loops (D, anti-codon, and T loops). Lineage: Duplodnaviria; Heunggongvirae; Uroviricota; Caudoviricetes. The record is from RNAcentral.
CGCGGUGUGGUAGUAACGGUAGCUCGGAUGACUCAUUAUCAUCAGAUUCCAGUUCGAUUCUGGACACCGCUA